CCGAAGUUUCCCUCAGGAUAGCUGUAAUGCAUUUAGUUAAGGGGAGUAGAGAUAUGGGUAGAGGUGCAGGGAGCCUUCGGGUUCUCAACUUAUUUCCAAACUUCGAACCUCCUUGUUAGGCAUUUACCUAACUGGAAAUGCUUAAAUGAAUUAGCGUUACAAGUGGGCUCUGACCGGUAAGCGGUCAUGGCGAAAUGGGAUGAACCAUACGUCUGAAUAAGGUGCCGAAAUGUACUAUCACUGAUACCAUAAAGGGAGUCCAUGUAUUUAGACAGCAGGUCGGUGCCCCUAAAAGCAGGUAUCCGCUAAAGAGUGUGUUAAAACUCACCUGCCGAAUACUAGGGCCCCGAAAAUGAAUGGCGCAUAUAGUACUACCGAUCUCAGACAUCAGUUCUAUUGAACUGAGAGUAGGGGGAUGUGGACAUUUUUGUGAAGGUGCAAUGUGAGUUGGACUGGAAGAAUGUCUAUUACAGAUCCUAAUUGAAGUAGCGAUUAUCCAGGCUUGUAUCCUGGGGGCUGAUGAGGAGUAGGGUUUCUGGACAACUUAAACAGAUCCAGAGUUAGUCGAUCCUAAUCUCAAUAAUGGGAGAAAGGGAGUACAGUUGAUAUUCUGUAACUGACAACAGUUCGCGGCAACGCAUACUAUUUUUCUCCGCCAAUCUUAUACCGUUGGUAGGGAUCUCUUUCCUACAUGACAGUACUAAUACCCAGGGAAACUGGUCAUCAGGCGAACUGCGGCGUUCUGCUGGCAAAACAUAGCUUCGGUUAUGUCAAUGGCUAUUGGAUUGGUCCAUGAAGCGAAAAAUAGUUUACUGUGUCACUCGUACCGAUAACCGCAUCAGGUCUUCUAGGUAAGUAGCCUAUGGCCAUUGAGGCAUGAUAGUUCAGGGAAUUCGGCCAAUUAGAGCUGUAACUUCGGGGAUAAAGCUUGGCUCUGAUGAAAAUCAGAACCGAUUGUUACGCGGAGAGCCCAACUGUUUAAUAAAAACGUAGUGUCGCGCUGUGGUAGUAUAGCCAGUGAACGCGACAUGAAUCCUGCUCAGUGCUGUGUCUGUUAAUAUGGUUCAAGCCAACGAAGCACC
RNAcentral lists this non-coding RNA (1082 nucleotides) under Trichomonas vaginalis G3. RNAcentral's name for it is "Eukaryotic large subunit ribosomal RNA". It matches the Rfam family "Eukaryotic large subunit ribosomal RNA", at positions 961 to 2244 of the family's 3401-position model. Lineage: Eukaryota; Parabasalia; Trichomonadida; Trichomonadidae. The record is from Rfam by way of RNAcentral.